CCAAUCAUUUUCGAAACGGAUUUGUGAUAAAAUGUCCAUCAUCUCUGAAAUGGCAGAGGUGGUUGGUAAGAGCCUGCCAGAGAGAACAGGCUUUCCAAGAAAUAACCAUCUGAAAAUACUUGGCUCCCAGGAGGACAGGUUAUUUAAAAUAGUGCUUUACUGGACAUUUAAAACACAUCAAACCGCUUUCUCAUUUAAAUUGUCACCUCCUGACAUUUCCGGGGAUCCCAAAUUUGGAAGGAAAAACCUAGCAUGGUGUUUCUUGUGGUUGUCCUCUCAAGCACAUUUGAUCCAGGGUUCAGAGUUCGAUGUAUAGAGAAAGAGUGUUUCUAAGCCAUUGACAAUUUUCUUUAUUUCAAGUUGUGCUUCUUUCUCCUACCACAUGGCUGUAAGUCAAAGAUGUGGAAACAUGAAAUUAUGAUGCUUCUCCUAGCUACUGGCCUCCUGCCCCACUAAUGGUUAAUUGGCCCAGCUUAAAGCCUGGUGGUGAUGAGUACUAUGUCCAGAAAAAGAAAUGUUCAGAUUCCGUGACAAAGCUGCAUUUUAUAAAAAUAUCGGAGACCCCAAAAUGAACUUCAUGCUGACCAUUUCCUUCUCCCUUCUAUGUGCUUUCCCUUGCAAAGCCCUUCAAAUCCCCUGUCUCCUCCCCUCCUGCACCUCUUGUGCCCUUUUUACAUCUUAGAUUGCCUGAUUAUAACAGGGUAAAAAGAAAGCCAACCUCACGCACGAUUUGCAGAACUGAUUCCUACUUUUAAAAAAUCUUCUUUGAAUCCAGAAGCCAGAGAAGAUUUUUUUAGGGGCUUUAGUUUGGGAUAAAGCUUCCAGAUUAGCCAUGUCUAUUUGCAUCAAAGGGGAAAUAAAUGGGACUUUCAGGGCAGCUCACCUAGUGCAUUCAGAACAUUCCGCCCAUAGCCCCCAAGCCUGAAUUUGAUGGCAAAGUCAAAAGAAAUUAACUCAACCGGCAACAAUGACAACAUCUUAGUGAUCAGUUUCAUUGGUUCAAAGUGAUUUCCUCGAUGGAAGUCGCUUCAUAAAAUAUAAAAUACAGUGCACAGUGCUUUUGUCCUCUCUUUUGCAUGAGUUUGGUUUUAGGAGAAGGAAGAAGGUAGGGAAAGUCAGAGAGAUGCAACGUAUUUAACUGCAAAAAGCAGGUUCAUUCUUUCUUUCUUUUUAAAAGAUCUGACGAGGGCCGGCAUUUCUGGCCAUAAUUUUGCACCCGGAUCUUUGCCAAAGUGAAAAUUCGUUAAGUGGAACCUGUUUGAAAUGUACUUGUGGAAGCUUUCCCUGGCAUCUUCCAGAAGUGGCCACCUGCCAAGCGUGGGGUGGGGGCAGGAGGAGAGAAUUCGAAUUCUGAGUCUGGGUUACAUUUCGGUAAACAUGGUGAUAUCUCAGUUUGGAAAACUAGUGGGGCUGGCCUGAGCGUCCAUCAAUGCCUCUUUGAUGGCCUACUUUCCUCAGUGAGGAUCUUUGGGAAUACUUGAGAUAGAACAACAAAAAUGUGUCCAAGGAAACAAAAACUGCUUGUAAAUGUGAGAUCCUGUGACUAAUGGCCUGAGGCUUCAGGGUUUUCUCUUGCUUUUAACACUCUUACGUCCCCUCUGCUGGUUCCUAAUAGAUCCCGGAAGGAACAGGGGGAAAAUCAAGCUGCAAUUCACUUUCUUAUGCGCGCCCUUCCAAUAGAGUACUGUAUUCUUCAGGUGUUUUGCAUUUGCGUUUGUAAGUCCUCGGGAAACAGGUAUCAGAAAAUGGGAGAGCGAAAUCCUGGGCCAUCACUUCACUAAUAUCCCAAACCAGAUACUCUUUUCAAACAGGGCUCCCUCUCAGCGGUCAUGAGGGAAGGGUGAUAACGUUCUUUGUUGGGGACUGUUUAUACAAUUUUUUUCAACUGUAAGCUUUGGAAUCGUAAAUUGCUUUGACUCCAGCUUCUGUCUACUGCCAUAAAAUGGACCCCACGUCAGAAUAAUGAGGGUGGUAUGUGUGCACAUGCCAUGCACGUGUGCAGAUGUACCUAUUGUACCUUCGCAGAAGGAAAACAGGCUACUGAUGUUUAAGAGGAGUAGCCACCAGUGCCUAAUAUCUUUUGGGGGGGAUGGAUGCUUAUAAUGCCAGUAUAUUGAAACCACACUGGGAGUUCCACAUGGAGGGGAGGGGCGGAGGGUGGGGAGAGGGGACAUUUUAAUCCUAGGCCUUUGGACUGGAGGCAGAAUGAUUUCUGCAAAUCUAGCUCCUGAAAGGCUUUGGGGCUCAUUGGCUGGUUCUCAAACUUUUGAUUUGAUUUUAGUUUUUUCCAGCAUGCAUUUCCUAUCUAAACCCAGACUUGGUUUAAUUUCCUUAUCUUUCACUUCUGCUUCAUUCCAGGGAGGAAAAAUACACCUAUUAUGGCCAAGAUCUCCUUGCUAACACAGAGGCAAAAAUAAAUGUUUAAUGUUUUUGCAGCCUCCCCUUCCUUUCCGUAAAUACCCCCCAAACCCCCUUCUCUCUCAUCACUCUGUCCCCAUUCCCGCCACACAACUCCCCAGCCACCACCACUUUGCUUUCCAGUCUCUAUUCUCCUCUUAACAGUUGCUUGAAGAAAUUUGUUUUUGCACUAUACAUUUUCUUUUUGCCAGAUGUGUCUAACAAGUGUGUUCGGAGAGACCUCCUCCCAGUCCCCUCCCCUCCCCCGCCUCCCCCGGUCACAUUCUCUCAGGCCUUCUCUGGUAUUUAUAAUAUAUCACAGAAGUACCCAGUCUUAUAGCCCUCGGUUAUGCCUUUUUUUGACAUUUUAUUUUUUUUAAGCUUUUUAUAUAUAUAUAUAAAUAUAUUACUUUGUCAAGUUUUUUUGCUGUACAAAAGUCUUAAGAUUUAAAACUAUUAUUUGUAUUAUAUGAUGGUGGUAUGUUAAUGUUACAAAAUUAUUAAUGAAGAAAAAAUUUAUUUUUGUUACUGGUCUGUUUCAUAAUUCUUUUUUAAAUUGGUAUAUUGUAAGAUAUCUAUGCAAAAAAUGUUAUGUGACGCAUUUUUAUUUAAGAAUGUAAUAUGUGUAAUAAACAGUAGAAUGUG
Molecule: long non-coding RNA, 3042 nt
Filed under: Canis lupus familiaris (dog)
Lineage: Eukaryota; Metazoa; Chordata; Mammalia; Carnivora; Canidae
Description: lncRNA (ENSCAFG00845021880.1)
Source: RNAcentral